This 426-nucleotide ribosomal RNA is filed under the name uncultured bacterium. RNAcentral's name for it is "bacterial SSU rRNA". It matches the Rfam family "Bacterial small subunit ribosomal RNA", at positions 354 to 796 of the family's 1533-position model. The record is from RNAcentral.
GUGAGGAAUUUUCCGCAAUGGGCGAAAGCCUGACGGAGCAAUGCCGCGUGAAGGAUGAAGGCCUAUGGGUUGUAAACUUCUUUUCUCAGAAAAGAAUUAUGACGGUAUCUGAGGAAUAAGCAUCGGCUAACUCUGUGCCAGCAGCCGCGGUAAGACAGAGGAUGCAAGCGUUAUCCGGAAUGAUUGGGCGUAAAGCGUCUGUAGGUUGUUUAAAAAGUAUUCUGUCAAAGAUUAGGGCUUAACCCUAGAUAGGCAGAAUAAACUUUUAAGCUAGAGUUUGGUAGAGGCAGAGGGAAUUCCCGGUGGAGCGGUGAAAUGCGUAGAUAUCGGGAGGAACACCAAAGGCGAAGGCACUCUGCUGGGCCAAUACUAACACUGAGAGACGAAAGCGAGGGGAGCAAAUGGGAUUAGAAACCCUGGUAGUCC